RNAcentral lists this ribosomal RNA (881 nucleotides) under uncultured bacterium. Its description in RNAcentral is "bacterial SSU rRNA". It matches the Rfam family "Bacterial small subunit ribosomal RNA", at positions 26 to 896 of the family's 1533-position model. The record is from RNAcentral.
AGAACGAACGCUAGCAGUGUGGAUUAGGCAUGCAAGUCGUGCGCGAAAGUCUUCGGACGGGUAAAGCGGCGAAAGGGUGAGUAACACGUAACCAACGUACCUCUCAGACCGGGAUAACCUUCGGAAACGGAGGAUAAUACCGGAUGGUCCUAAGGGAAGACAUCUUCCUUAUGGUAAACGGCGGCUUCGGCUGCUGCUGGGUGAGCGGGUUGCGGCCUAUCAGCUUGUUGGUGGGGUAAAGGCCCACCAAGGCUAUGACGGGUAGCGGGUCUGAGAGGAUGAUCCGUCACACUGGGACUGAGACACUGCCCAGACUCCUACGGGAGGCUGCAGUCGAGAAUCUUCCACAAUGGGCGAAAGCCUGAUGGAGCGACACUGCGUGCAGGAUGACGGCCUUAUGGUUGUAAACUGCUGUCACGCUAUAGGAAACCGUGUGGGUGAAUAGUCCAUGCGCUGACCAAAGCGAGAGGAAGUGCCGGCUAACUCCGUGCCAGCAGCCGCGGUAAUACGGAGGGCGCAAGCGUUGUUCGGAAUCACUGGGCAUAAAGAGCACGUAGGCGGUCCAUUAAGUCAGGUGUGAAAUCCCUCGGCUCAACCGAGGAACUGCAUCUGAUACUGACGGACUUGAGGAUGGCAGGGGUAAGUGGAACUCCAGGUGGAACGGUGAAAUGUGUAGAUAUCUGGAGGAACACCGGUGGCGAAAGCGGCUUACUGGGCCAUCACUGACGCUGAGGUGCGAAAGCUAGGGUAGCGAACGGGAUUAGAUACCCCGGUAGUCCUAGCCGUAAACGAUGGGCACUAGGCAAUGGAUUCACCUAUGGGAUUCAUUGCCGUAGCUAAUGUGUUAAGUGCCCCGCCUGGGGAGUACGCUCGCAAGGGUA